RNAcentral lists this unclassified non-coding RNA (336 nucleotides) under soil metagenome. RNAcentral's name for it is "partial contains 5.8S ribosomal RNA, internal transcribed spacer 2, and large subunit ribosomal RNA". The stretch from base 1 to 120 matches the Rfam family "5.8S ribosomal RNA", at positions 35 to 154 of the family's 154-position model. The record is from RNAcentral.
GAUGAAGAACGCAGCGAAAUGCGAUAAGUAAUGUGAAUUGCAGAAUUCAGUGAAUCAUCGAAUCUUUGAACGCACAUUGCGCCCGCCAGUAUUCUGGCGGGCAUGCCUGUUCGAGCGUCAUUUCAACCAUCAAGCCCCCGGCUUGUGUUGGGGACCUGCGGCUGCCGCAGGCCCUGAAAAGCAGUGGCGGGCUCGCUGUCACACCGAGCGUAGUAGCAUACAUCUCGCUCUGGGCGUGCUGCGGGUUCCGGCCGUUAAACCACCUUCAUAACCCAAGGUUGACCUCGGAUCAGGUAGGAAGACCCGCUGAACUUAAGCAUAUCAAUAGGCGGAGGA